This 569-nucleotide ribosomal RNA is filed under the name Psalidodon anisitsi (Buenos Aires tetra). RNAcentral's name for it is "partial 16S ribosomal RNA". It matches the Rfam family "Bacterial large subunit ribosomal RNA", at positions 1816 to 2597 of the family's 2925-position model. Lineage: Eukaryota; Metazoa; Chordata; Actinopteri; Characiformes; Acestrorhamphidae. The record is from RNAcentral.
CGCCUCCUGCAAAAAUCAAUGUAUAAGAGGUCCUACCUGCCCAGUGAUUUAAUUAAACGGCCGCGGUAUUUUGACCGUGCAAAGGUAGCGCAAUCACUUGUUUUUUAAAUAAAGACCUGUAUGAAUGGUGAAACGAGGGCUUAACUGUCUCCCUUUUCUGAUCAGUGAAAUUGAUCUACCCGUGCAGAAGCGGGUAUAAGAAUACAAGACGAGAAGACCCUAUGGAGCUUAAGACACAAAAUCAACUAUGUUAAAAACCCCUAUUAAAAGAAUAAAACAAAACAGCAACUGAUUAGCGUCUUCGGUUGGGGCGACCACGGGGGAAAACCAAUCCCCCACGUGGAACGGGAUUACUCCUAAAACCAUGAGGGACACCUCUAAGUCACAGAACCUCUGACCAAAUGAUCCGGUAAAUAACCGAUCAACGAACCAAGUUACCCUAGGGAUAACAGCGCAAUCCCCUUCAAGAGUUCAUAUCGACAAGGGGGUUUACGACCUCGAUGUUGGAUCAGGACAUCCUAAUGGUGCAGCCGCUAUUAAGGGUUCGUUUGUUCAACGAUUAAAGUCCU